Non-coding RNA from Notechis scutatus (mainland tiger snake), 72 nucleotides. The record is from the annotation of a RefSeq genome assembly. NCBI's taxonomy places the organism in Eukaryota, Metazoa, Chordata, Lepidosauria, Squamata, Elapidae.
GGGAAUGUAGCUUAGUGGUAGAGUGCAUGUUUUGCAUAUGUGGGGUCCUGGGUUCAAUCCCCAGCAUCUCCA